AAAGUUAAAACGUAUAGCUUUAAAAACGGUUAUGCCAAGUUCUAAAGACACUUAGUAUACAUGAAGGUAAAUAAAAAUACUGAAUAACAACAUACUUAACUAAGAAUAAUACUUAAUAAAAAUACUGAAUAUAAAAAUUAUUCGUCCCAAAGUAACAAGAGGUUCCAUUUAGUCGGACAACACAAAACUUCGUUCUACAAUAGAUGUUCGAAAUAUCUACCGUUCAUUUUUAGAAACAGCUGAACCCAUCUCCUUAGACCUAAUCUCUAAAGUCGUCGAGAAUAAAUUACAGGUUCUCAGCCAGGGAAGUGGACCCUUUAGCGCGCGCCCCUACUUUAAUUUAUGCAUUUCUUGACCCGCACCGAUGGACUCGGAUUCCUACCUGUUGGUCCCU
RNAcentral lists this unclassified non-coding RNA (394 nucleotides) under Bombus terrestris (buff-tailed bumblebee). RNAcentral's name for it is "misc RNA ENSBTSG00005038677.1". The record is from RNAcentral. Lineage: Eukaryota; Metazoa; Arthropoda; Insecta; Hymenoptera; Apidae.